UGCAGUCGAACGAUUAAGACUCUCUUCGGAGAGUGUAUAAAGUGGCGCACGGGUGAGUAACACGUAAGUAAUCUACCUUUGAGUGGGGAAUAACAGUCGGAAACGACUGCUAAUACCGCAUAAUGCAGCGGCACCGCAAGGUGACAGUUGUUAAAGGAGCAAUUCGCUUGAAGAGGAGCUUGCGGCAGAUUAGCUUGUUGGUAAGGUAACGGCUUACCAAGGCUACGAUCUGUAACCGGUCUAAGAGGACGGUCGGUCACACUGACACUGAAUAACGGGUCAGACUCCUACGGGAGGCAGCAGUCGGGAAUUUUGGGCAAUGGGCGAAAGCCUGACCCAGCAACGCCGCGUGAAGGAUGAAGUAUUUCGGUAUGUAAACUUCGAAAGAAUAGGAAGAAUCAAUGACGGUACUAUUUAUAAGGUCCGGCUAACUACGUGCCAGCAGCCGCGGUAAUACGUAGGGUGCGAGCGUUAAUCGGAAUUACUGGGCGUAAAGCGUGCGCAGGCGGUUUUAUAAGCCAGAUGUGAAAGCCCCGGGCUCAACCUGGGAAUGGCAUUUGGGACUGUAAGGCUGGAGUAUGGCAGAGGAGACUAGAAUUCCUGGUGUAGCAGUGAAAUGCGUAGAUAUCAGGAGGAAUACCGAUGGCGAAGGCAGGUCUCUGGGUCAAUACUGACGCUCAUGCACGAAAGCGUGGGGAGCAAACAGGAUUAGAUACCCUGGUAGUCCACGCCCUAAACGAUGUCAACUGGUUGUUGGGGGAUUUAUUCUCUUAGUAACGAAGCUAACGCGUGAAGUUGACCGCCUGGGGAGUACGGUCGCAAGAUUAAAACUCAAAGGAAUUGACGGGGGCCCGCACAAGCGGUGGAUGAUGUGGAUUAAUUCGAUGCAACGCGAAAAAC
Molecule: ribosomal RNA, 900 nt
Filed under: uncultured bacterium
Lineage: Bacteria
Description: bacterial SSU rRNA
Rfam family: Bacterial small subunit ribosomal RNA
Source: RNAcentral